AUCCCCACCUAAAAAUAUUAGAAAACAAAGUACAAAAGAAGCUAAAUAAAUAAUGAUAAGAACAUUACUCAGAAAGUAAUUUGUACUUUCAAAGGAAAUUGGCAACCAAUAACAACCAAGAUCAGAGGGAUCCUAAAAACCUCCAUCAGUUGAUUUCUUUAUGAAAACUAACCACUAUACAAUUUGAACUCCUAAGGCUGUUAUACCCAUGCCAAUUGCACGACCUCAACUCCCAUGUGAAUUGAAACAAUAGCAGCUUUUCUUUCUGAUAGAUGCUUAAGAAAAACAAUACCCAUGCCCCAUCCAUAUA
RNAcentral lists this unclassified non-coding RNA (310 nucleotides) under Hevea brasiliensis (rubber tree). The record is from RNAcentral. Lineage: Eukaryota; Viridiplantae; Streptophyta; Magnoliopsida; Malpighiales; Euphorbiaceae.